This 253-nucleotide ribosomal RNA is filed under the name uncultured bacterium. RNAcentral describes it as "partial 16S ribosomal RNA". It matches the Rfam family "Bacterial small subunit ribosomal RNA", at positions 524 to 776 of the family's 1533-position model. The record is from RNAcentral.
UACGGAGGGUGCAAGCGUUAUCCGGAUUCACUGGGUUUAAAGGGUGCGUAGGCGGAUUAUUAAGUCAGAGGUGAAAUUUUGCGGCUCAACCGUAAGCUUGCCUUUGAUACUGAUGAUCUUGAAUUAACUUGAGGUAGGCGGAAUGUGACAAGUAGCGGUGAAAUGCAUAGAUAUGUCACAGAACACCAAUUGCGAAGGCAGCUUACUAAGGUUAAAUUGACGCUGAGGCACGAAAGCGUGGGGAUCAAACAGG